RNAcentral lists this ribosomal RNA (499 nucleotides) under uncultured bacterium. Its description in RNAcentral is "bacterial SSU rRNA". It matches the Rfam family "Bacterial small subunit ribosomal RNA", at positions 29 to 523 of the family's 1533-position model. The record is from RNAcentral.
AGCGAACGUUUGCGGCGGGCUUAACACAUGCAAGUCGAACGAGAAUCCCUUCGGGGAGGAAAGUGGCGCACGGGUGCGUAACACGUGGAUAACCAACCCAUUGGUUUGGGACAACACCGGGAAACUGGUGCUAAUACCAGAUGUGUCGCAGCUGUCUUCAGGCGGUUGCGAGAAAGGCCCGCAAGGGUCGCCAACGGACGGGUCCGCGUCCCAUCAGCUAGUUGGUGAGGUAAUGGCUCACCAAGGCAAAGACGGGUAGCUGGUCUGAGAGGAUGAUCAGCCACACUGGAACUGAGACACGGUCCAGACUCCUACGGGAGGCAGCAGUGGGGAAUAUUGCGCAAUGGGCGAAAGCCUGACGCAGCCACGCCGCGUGAGCGAUGAAGGUCUUCGGAUCGUAAAGCUCUGUGGGGGGANAAGAAGAAAGCCGGUGAAGAGCCGGCCCUGACGGUAUCCCCUUAGCAAGCACCGGCUAACUCCGUGCCAGCAGCCGCGGUAA